RNAcentral lists this transfer RNA (77 nucleotides) under Armatimonadota bacterium. RNAcentral describes it as "Armatimonadetes bacterium (bioreactor metagenome) tRNA-Met". It matches the Rfam family "tRNA". Rfam says of the family: Transfer RNA (tRNA) molecules are approximately 80 nucleotides in length. Their secondary structure includes four short double-helical elements and three loops (D, anti-codon, and T loops). RNAcentral also lists the same sequence under 1 other name. Lineage: Bacteria; Bacillati; Armatimonadota. The record is from RNAcentral.
UGCGGGAUGGAGCAGUCUGGUAGCUCGUCGGGCUCAUAACCCGGAGGUCGUUGGUUCAAAUCCGACUCCCGCACCCA